AAGUCGUAACAAGGUUUCCGUAGGUGAACCUGCGGAAGGAUCAUUAACACGUAUCCAACGUUAAACCCCCCUGUGAACCUUAUUGUGCUCCCAGGACGCGGCCCUGGUAAAUCAUCGCCGAACAGUUUUGAUUCAGGGACCUCUGCAUGGAGUGGGCAGCAGCGCGAGGCAACAACGAUCGCGCCGACACGGCGGGCGACAGGGUCACUGGGCUCACGCCCCCUAUCACCUUUGCAUGAAAACGGGCCUGCGCUUAAUUGUGCGGCCACCAAACUCGAACAACUGUUAACAAUGGAUAUCUUGGUUCUC
This 309-nucleotide unclassified non-coding RNA is filed under the name fungal sp. RNAcentral describes it as "partial internal transcribed spacer region". The stretch from base 1 to 46 matches the Rfam family "Eukaryotic small subunit ribosomal RNA", at positions 1786 to 1831 of the family's 1831-position model. The record is from RNAcentral. Lineage: Eukaryota; Fungi.